This 594-nucleotide ribosomal RNA is filed under the name uncultured bacterium. RNAcentral describes it as "bacterial SSU rRNA". It matches the Rfam family "Bacterial small subunit ribosomal RNA", at positions 60 to 668 of the family's 1533-position model. The record is from RNAcentral.
AGUCGACGGUGAACAGGAGCUUGCUCUUGCGGAUCAGUGGCGAACGGGUGAGUAACACGUGAGUAACCUGCCCUUGACUCUGGGAUAAGCGUUGGAAACGACGUCUAAUACCGGAUACGAGCUUCAGUCGCAUGACUAGGAGCUGGAAAGAAUUUCGGUCAAGGAUGGACUCGCGGCCUAUCAGCUAGUUGGUGAGGUAACGGCCCACCAAGGCGACGACGGGUAGCCGGCCUGAGAGGGUGACCGGCCACACUGGGACUGAGACACGGCCCAGACUCCUACGGGAGGCAGCAGUGGGGAAUAUUGCACAAUGGGCGCAAGCCUGAUGCAGCAACGCCGCGUGAGGGACGACGGCCUUCGGGUUGUAAACCUCUUUAGUAGGGAAGAAGCGAAAGUGACGGUACCUGCAGAAAAAGCGCCGGCUAACUACGUGCCAGCAGCCGCGGUAAUACGUAGGGCGCGAGCGUUAUCCGGAAUUAUUGGGCGUAAAGAGCUCGUAGGCGGUUUGUCACGUCUGCUGUGAAAACUGGAGGCUCAACCUCCAGCCUGCAGUGGGUACGGGCAGACUAGAGUGCGGUAGGGGAGAUUGGAAUU